GCUGGGUGUGGUGGCUCACACCUGUAAUCCCAGCACUUUGGGAGGCUGAGGCAGGUGGAUCACUUGAGGUCAGGAGUUCAAGACCAGCCUGGCCAACAUGGUGAAACCCCGUCUCUA
This 117-nucleotide small RNA is filed under the name Macaca mulatta (Rhesus monkey). RNAcentral's name for it is "Metazoan signal recognition particle RNA (ENSMMUG00000049643.1)". The record is from Rfam by way of RNAcentral. Lineage: Eukaryota; Metazoa; Chordata; Mammalia; Primates; Cercopithecidae.